Molecule: long non-coding RNA, 790 nt
Organism: Platichthys flesus (European flounder)
Lineage: Eukaryota; Metazoa; Chordata; Actinopteri; Pleuronectiformes; Pleuronectidae
Exons: 3
Source: RefSeq, a predicted model, not a curated record
UGCCAAGGAGUUAUGGACCUUAAAUGAAGCGGACCUCGCCUAUGCUGAAGAUGAGGCUAAAGCCCUGAAGCCGCUAAAAGGAUGUCAAACAUGAGACACAACUGGAAUCCAGACUGAACACUGAGUCAUCACUUCAACACUGACUCCAGGGACGGACGAGCCUGAAGGACAAAGCUGAGCUGACCGUGUUCUGUCUCUUAUGGCAAAGAAGAAAAAUAAAACAUUGGGUUCUUAUCUAAAGUGUAUCAAAUCAGAAAGCAAAAAAAUGUAUGACACAUAUAGUUACUAUUACAUGCAAAUUACACAUGUAGCGUAUGAUAUUAACUUAUUAAAUGAAGGCCUAAUAUAAGAAAUAAUUGGUCAUGGUAGAAUGUAAGUGAGUUAAGUUACUCAGGAACUAUACAAUUUGAAAUUGGUGCAAUGUUGAGGUUUUUAUACUUCCAGUGAUGUUAUUCUACUUCAUAAUUCUACAACAUUUCAAAUGGAAAUAUUUGGCGUUUUUACAGUAUUAAUGUGAUAGUAUCUAAUCAGCAUUCUGAAGUGUGUUUGGACAAGAAACUGAAUCCUAAAUUGCCCAUGACAGCCUUGUGGAAGGUGGUUGAUAGAUACAAAUCCAAAUAUUUCCAUGACUUGUACAGUAAGGCGUUUUUUGAGUGGCUGAUAAGACUGAAAGAAUGUAAUCAUACACUCUAUGUACUGAAUGCAGGACCUGUGGCAAACUGGGGAUUGUUACACUUUGGUGUUGUUCAUUUUCUUUCUCCAUCACUGCAAUUAAAACACCUUAAAAUAA